AUGACAGUAUUGCCAAUGCUGGAAUACAUUUUAAAAAAGAUCAUGCAAAAGCUAGUGAGUAAACAUAGAGAGGCCAUAGAGAAGUGGACAGGGCAGAGAAUAUGCCCAAAGAUCAAGAAGAAACUAGACAAGAACACUGAGUUUGCUGCUAAUUGCCAUGUCUUAGAAGCUAGCCAACAAUUGUUCAGAGUUCAGUCUGGUAACUCUAGUUAUACAGUUGACUUGUGCUUGCACACUUGUGACUGCAGGAGAUGGCAACUGUCUGGAGUACCAUGUGGCCAUAGUAUAGCAUGCUGCAGGGAGGAGAGAAUUGACCCUGAGACAAUGGUUCAUGACGGCUACACUAUGGAGAAUUAUUUGGAAGCAUAUGGAUAUACUCUUGUUCCACUUAGAGAUCUAAAGCAUUGA
This 408-nucleotide ribosomal RNA is filed under the name Triticum aestivum (bread wheat). Its description in RNAcentral is "partial small subunit ribosomal RNA". The record is from RNAcentral. Lineage: Eukaryota; Viridiplantae; Streptophyta; Magnoliopsida; Poales; Poaceae.